AUGGGCGGAAGCCUGAUCCAGCCAUGCCGCGUGAAGGAAUAAGGUCCUAUGGGUCGUAAACUUCUUUUGACGCAGAGCAAUAAGGGACACGCGUGUUCCGAUGAGAGUAUGCGUCGAAUAAGCAUCGGCUAACUCCGUGCCAGCAGCCGCGGUAAUACGGAGGAUGCGAGCGUUAUCCGGAUUUAUUGGGUUUAAAGGGUGCGUAGGCUGUUGGAUAAGUCAGCGGUGAAAUCACCACGCUUAACGUGUUGUGUGCCGUUGAAACUGUCCAGCUUGAAUGCGCUCGUCGUGAGAGGAAUGUGUGGUGUAGCGGUGAAAUGCAUAGAUAUCACACAGAACACCGAUUGCGAAGGCAUCUCACGAGGGCGCUAUUGACGCUGAUGCACGAAAGCGCGGGUAUCGAACAGGAUUAGAUACCCUGGUAGUCCGCGCUGUAAACGAUGAUGACUAACCGUUGGUCUGGUAUGGAUCAGUGGUCAAGCGAAAGCGUUAAGUCAUCCACCUGGGGAGUACGGGCGCAAGGCUGAAACUCAAAGGAAUUGACGGGGACCCGCACAAGCAGCGGAGCAUGUGGUUUAAUUCGAGGCAACGCGAAGAACCUUACCUAAACUUGACU
RNAcentral lists this ribosomal RNA (616 nucleotides) under Bacteroidetes bacterium oral taxon 281. RNAcentral describes it as "bacterial SSU rRNA". It matches the Rfam family "Bacterial small subunit ribosomal RNA", at positions 371 to 986 of the family's 1533-position model. Lineage: Bacteria; Pseudomonadati; Bacteroidota. The record is from RNAcentral.